UCGACUGAAAAAAUAAAAAAAAACACGUGAAAACAUGACAGCCGAAGACGCCUCUGAUUAUUUUAAUUUCGCUUUUCUGGGCUUUUAUUUUGGUCUCUUUGUUUCGUAAGUUGACAGUGGUGUGAGGAACAUGUCACUGCUGACUGCCGUCGAGAACGCUAUCAAGUCCUGCAAAGCAGAGCAAGCCAGGUUGGACUGCCGCAUUCAGUACUACAGAGAAGUUGUGUUACACAGCCACACAACUCCGCAUGAAUCUGAACUCACUGAGGCUGCUGCUACCACUGCUACAGACACAGCCACAUGCCCGGGGGAAGCAGAAGACCUAAAACUGAUCGAGCAAACAUUGGAAAAAGCUUUUCAGCUCCGCACUCGCUACAGUCUUUUUAGUGAAGACUCUCAAGGAACGAAACCCUCUCAGCCGAGAAAGAAGCCCCCUGACACAUGUGUCCAAUCUAAAGGGUCAACUUCAAAAGCCUCAGCUGCUUCUAAAGGAAAGCAAUCAACAACCGCUCUUAAGUGCGGCCAUCUUGACAGAAGAGGGCAAAGAAAGCCUGGAACAUCGUCUUCACGUGGAUCUCGAACCUCGGCUGUCUGCUAUCCCGCAAGUAAAAAUGGGAUUCACAACCGUCCUGCUCCAUCAGCCGUAAAACAUGUCCCGCAUGUUACUACCUCAGUGGGAAAAGUGGCAAGAAGUCGUGUGCAGAGUGAUGAUGACUCGGCCAAAGCUUCAACUGUCACGUGUUCUUCGACGAAGGUGGAGGACACAGAAGAUCACCAUCAGCCCCCAUCACAGCCAAGGAGAACACAGUGUGAGCAGACGGCACAAUGGAAAUCUCUGUGGAUGAACCAAAACAGAUUGUGGGACAAAGUAAUGGCUGCUCAAAGGAAACCUGCGCCCGGGAGGAGUCGUUUCAUGGAGAGAAUGAGCGCAACGUUCCCUAAGGGCUGGCCACAUGGAAGCCCGGACCAGAUCAGAGGUCUGGUUGGCAGACUGAAUUACCAGACUGAUGAACUGGUCCAGCAAUGCCAGACAAAGGACCUUUUGGAGCAAAGUACAGAAACGGGGGUGAAAGACAACAAGCAUUCCUGUCUCCCACUUGAGAGCUUGCAAAGAACAGCAGCGGACCUCCAGAGGACUGCAGAGCAGGCGAAACAAGAGUGGGAAGCCUGGGAUCGAUGCAGACCAGAGGGAGGUUGCCUUUGCGCCGCUGGGACCGUGGAGGAUGAGGCGACUGCAGGUCGUCUGCCCGUAACUAUCAAUUACAACUCCGAGGCCGAGCUCAGAGAGCUGGAGACGCUCAGGAUGAGAGUGGCUCUGCUGCAACAGGAGAUAUCCUUCCAGCAAGCUCUGCAAGACGCUCUGGCCCCUCAGUUGGCCUCCAUUAUUCCUUCGUGUCCUAAUCGCAGUGUGCUGAGAGAUUUGUACUCCUUACUGGGUGAAGGAGGUCAGCGUUUCCCCGCCAUAGUCCAAGACUAUGAGCCUGAGUGACUCGUGAGAUGACUGAAAGGCUAACGAUGCAGUACAUCUACAAUUUACUUUGCAUUUGAUUCCUGGAGUCCAGUACCAGUGCCAGGUUCCUGGUGCAGCCACCCGCGCACACACCUGAUGCUCAUCUCAUUCCGACUACUUAAAUUGGCACGCCAACAAUUGACUGACAUGAACAAAGAGUUUUUUGACUUAUGAAACGUUUUGAAUUUGUUGAGCCAUUUAGCAAAUGUGGGCGUUUGAAAAACUGCCCAUUCAUUUUGAAUGAAAAAAAUAUUUAAUGUCCAGAACGGUUUUAUUCGGUUGAGAAAUGUGCGAAAUAUGGAUUCAUUUUUUUCUAAUAUUUAUUUAUUCAUUUGAUAGGGAAAUCAUAAUACAGGUACUGAGAAAACAGACAAUAGAAAAUACAAAUAAAAUAAGAAUAAGUCUGCUUAAUUUUUUGAUAGUUUGGUGCAAUCCAAAAAUAGCAAUAUUAUAUAGAAAUAUGGAUUUUAAAAAAAAUGGUGCAUUCAUUACGAAUGGGAAGAAAUGUUACGGGAAAUGUAGAAUUCCUGAAAAUAAAAAUAAUGGUCAUGAUUGAGCAGAAAAUUAAAAAAAUUAGCAAAUGGUUUGAAUCAAAUUAAAAAUGUGGGAGGAGAAGGGCGAAACAAUAUUUAUAAUUUUUUAUAUAUCAAUCAAUCAGUAUUUAUAUAGCCCUAAAUCACAAAAGUCUCAAAGGGCUGCACAAUAAUAAAUAUAUCCAAUCAGAGGUAUUGAAAUUCAAUUUGGUGCAUUUGCAAACAGCUAAAAUUGUGUACAAAGCAAACUAUAACCUGCUACCCAAGAAUGUGCAACAAUUCUUCUCAACAAAAGAGGAGAAAUAUAAGAUCAGAGAAAAAUCUAAUUUAAAACAUUUGUAUGCACGUACAACACUUACAACCUUUAGCAUAUCAGUUUGUGGAAUUAAAUUAUGGAAUGGAUUAAACAAAGAAAUUAAAAAGAGUACUAAUAUGAUUCCGUUUAAGAGGCUGUUCAAACUAAAAGUGUUUACAAAGUACAAGGAGGAAGAAUUUUGAUGAACACCUUGAACCUUAUUGAAAAUGAGAUAUUAAUCUCAUAUGUGAACCAUAACUGAAUGACCUAUUAAUAAGAGAUCUGUUGUAUACAUUUAUGUCAAUUGUGUUACAAAAUGAGGACAGGAAGUGAAUAUGUGCUACUAAAUUGCUAUGAAUUGGAAAAGUGGUAGGACUGAAUAAGGUGUAAACCAGGGGUACCCAAACUACACAAGUAAAAAAAAAAGGGGUCAAAGUUAUUUAUUUAUUUAAAAAAAAUUUUUUUUUCAUAUUGUCUAAAAAUAAAUGUUCCCAUCGAUAACGUGACAUCAUUGCGCUCGGAAUUUAUAGAUAUCUAUAUA
Entelurus aequoreus (snake pipefish) is the source of this 2879-nucleotide RNA transcript. RefSeq lists it as uncharacterized. The record is from RefSeq and is a predicted model, not a curated record. Lineage: Eukaryota; Metazoa; Chordata; Actinopteri; Syngnathiformes; Syngnathidae. The transcript has 10 exons.